RNAcentral lists this transfer RNA (72 nucleotides) under Camelus bactrianus (Bactrian camel). It matches the Rfam family "tRNA". From Rfam's summary of the family: Transfer RNA (tRNA) molecules are approximately 80 nucleotides in length. Their secondary structure includes four short double-helical elements and three loops (D, anti-codon, and T loops). Lineage: Eukaryota; Metazoa; Chordata; Mammalia; Artiodactyla; Camelidae. RNAcentral also lists the same sequence under 1 other name. The record is from Rfam by way of RNAcentral.
GUAGGUAUAGCUCAGUGGUAUUGCUCAUGCUUAGCAUGCAUGAGGUCCUGGAUUCAAUCCCUAGUACCUCCA